CCUAUAAGACUGGGAUAACUUCGGGAAACCGGAGCUAAUACCGGAUAACAUAUUGAACCGCAUGGUUCAAUAGUGAAAGGCGGCUUUGCUGUCACUUAUAGAUGGAUCCGCGCCGUAUUAGCUAGUUGGUAAGGUAACGGCUUACCAAGGCAACGAUACGUAGCCGACCUGAGAGGGUGAUCGGCCACACUGGAACUGAGACACGGUCCAGACUCCUACGGGAGGCAGCAGUAGGGAAUCUUCCGCAAUGGGCGAAAGCCUGACGGAGCAACGCCGCGUGAGUGAUGAAGGUCUUCGGAUCGUAAAACUCUGUUAUCAGGGAAGAACAAAUGUGUAAGUAACUGUGCACAUCUUGACGGUACCUGAUCAGAAAGCCACGGCUAACUACGUGCCAGCAGCCGCGGUAAUACGUAGGUGGCAAGCGUUAUCCGGAAUUAUUGGGCGUAAAGCGCGCGUAGGCGGUUUUUUAAGUCUGAUGUGAAAGCCCACGGCUCAACCGUGGAGGGUCAUUGGAAACUGGAAAACUUGAGUGCAGAAGAGGAAAGUGGAAUUCCAUGUGUAGCGGUGAAAUGCGCAGAGAUAUGGAGGAACACCAGUGGCGAAGGCGACUUUCUGGUCUGUAACUGACGCUGAUGUGCGAAA
RNAcentral lists this ribosomal RNA (642 nucleotides) under uncultured Staphylococcus sp. RNAcentral describes it as "bacterial SSU rRNA". It matches the Rfam family "Bacterial small subunit ribosomal RNA", at positions 129 to 758 of the family's 1533-position model. Lineage: Bacteria; Bacillati; Bacillota; Bacilli; Caryophanales; Staphylococcaceae. The record is from RNAcentral.